GGGGGCGACUUGGCUUCGACAGGAGCAGGGUGGCUUAGGUGGCAUACCGCUUUGGACAAAGCGUUAAAAGUCCGACCAAAUUUAAACGCAAACAACGUUAAAUUCGCUCCUGCUUACGCUAAAGUAGCCUAAGUUCAGUUGAGCCUUGCUUUUUGAUGAUACUAUCUAGUUAAAACAGCGAGUAAUCCUUUGAUAGCGUAGUUUCAAGUUUGACGAUCUUGAGAUGAAGUUUAGUCUUAGCUGUGCUUAAAAGUUUUGGAAGAUGAGCUUGGUGCAGUGAAGUUUUCAUCUUUACUAAGUAUGUAGAGGCUUAAGUUGUUUUGUUUUUGGACAGGGGUUCGAUCCCCCUCGCCUCCACCA
RNAcentral lists this transfer-messenger RNA (360 nucleotides) under Campylobacteraceae. Its description in RNAcentral is "Campylobacter_D sp006864535 Standard tmRNA". It matches the Rfam family "transfer-messenger RNA". From Rfam's summary of the family: Bacterial tmRNA, also known as 10Sa RNA or SsrA, is named for its dual tRNA and mRNA-like properties. Its role is to liberate the mRNA from a stalled ribosome. RNAcentral also lists the same sequence under 2 other names. Lineage: Bacteria; Pseudomonadati; Campylobacterota; Epsilonproteobacteria; Campylobacterales. The record is from RNAcentral.